UACAAAGUUUCCACCAUAAAUUAUGAAAUCAUGCCAUAUGAUACAAGUAAUUAAUGCAUCCCAAAAGAGCCUUAUCUAAAUUCCAAAGCUACUUCCAAGGAUAUUUUAGCAAGGCAAUCACAAAUCUAAACCUCAAGCCAAGCCAUAUUGCAAUUCAACCUAAAUUCCCAAACCCACUUUCAGUCAUUCAAGUUUAGCAUAUAGAGUACACACAUAUUCCGCUAGGAACUCACUUCUAGUCUCGAACUUCUCCUUGUAGCUAUGAGUUUUAUCUUCUCUGCUUGUUUGCACGUCAGCUGGGAUAUGUUCAGGCUGUUCCUCACCUUCCCAUUUUAUUGUAUGGCGGGCUAGCCUUUGCUGAUAGGAUGAGAUGGACUUUAGUAGACGACAUCAUUAUGCGACCAGUGAGAUCCAAAGAGCAUUUAAACACUUUUCUGCUCGUGACAUGCCUACUGGGACCCUUAGCUGUACUCCUGAGUUUUCUGAAUGAUGAAAGAUAUGGGUAGAGACUUUUCUCAUUCCCCGAUCAGUCAUGCCUCGAACUCUCCAUCACAAAGAAGGCAAAGUCGAUUGUCACUCCAUCUGGGGUCAAGAUCCAUAUGCCACCGAGCUCUGCCAAGGCUAACACACCUCCCCGUGAUCUCCUUGCAUUAUCGGGCAUUUGCUUCCAGGUGUAUUCAGCUUAUUAGAGACUAUUGACAUUACUGGUGAUGAUAGUCCAAAACAGACGCCUCGGGCUCUCAGUUGUGAAGCCGCCAGCCACACAUGCCUCUUCUGACUUUCGGCCUCUCAUCAGUUAGGAUGACAGCUUAAUAAAAUUUGUAGGGGAAAUUCUUUCUAUGUUUCAGUCUGAAGGACUAAUGUCUGAUUCUACAACUGUUAAGAAGGAUCCUAUAAAGCCAACUUAUAAAUCCAACAAGAGUCCAAGAAAAGAUCCUUCUGGCUCUACAACUGCUGCCUCCCAGUCUGCUUUCAGAUUAUCAGAGUUGUCCACGUUUGAGAGCCCAUUGGCCAGAUUGGACCUCUCAUUCUUGUCCUGCUCUGUAGUUACUUCACCAUCUUCAGAUCUUGUGCUUGAUCCAGCUGGGGUCCAUAAAGCUCAGCAGAAACUUUGCCAUUUUCUAACUCUGUCUUUAGACCGAAUAUCUUUUGAUGAGCUUCCUCAUGUUGACAGCUUGAUUUUUUUUUUUUUUUUUUUUAAGAAUCCUUUAUGUGAUAGUGAUUGAGCCCAUCUACGCACUCUUCGUACAGAUUUGACACAUCUCCUCAAGAGCUAUCAAGCAGUCACUUCUGAGAAUAGCUUCUUGGAACAACAAUUAAAAGAGUUCUAAGAUUGCAAGACAGGUUGAACAGGCAGAAGCUGCCAUUCUGGCUUACAGAGACACAACUGCUUAAUUCAAAAUUGAACUCCAAACUAAGGAAAAAAAGAUAGUCGAGCUCUUUGCAAAACUACAGAAAGAAUAUGUUGAGGCUCAUGACACUAUGGCUAAACUGAUCCACAUCUCCAGACUUCAAUCAGAGGAAGAAACUCAUUUUUAGGGCUUAGUACCAUUAUUGAGUUUCAAUUGCCAGCAAAACAAAGAGUUACUCUUACGGAGGCAACAUCUAACUAGGCAGAGGAAAGAGCACACUGAGCGCUAGGACUGCCUCCGGACUUGUGUGAAUGUCAGCUUCUUGUGAUUGUGUUGAGGUUCACCUUAUUGGCCAUGCUUGUUUUUGUUUUUUCAUCUCUUUUGCAGAUUUGUACAGUCCUGUGAUUGGCUUUUAGACUUUGACUUGAUUUUUGCUGAUGGACGGGUUGAACCAUAAUUAUUCUUUUGCUGUGAAUUACUGAAUAAGGUUGAGCCCUCUACUUGAGAUUGUUGAUUGUUGAUCAGGGGCUGAGCUC
Hevea brasiliensis (rubber tree) is the source of this 1888-nucleotide RNA transcript. RefSeq lists it as uncharacterized. The record is from RefSeq and is a predicted model, not a curated record. Lineage: Eukaryota; Viridiplantae; Streptophyta; Magnoliopsida; Malpighiales; Euphorbiaceae. The transcript has 3 exons.